This 253-nucleotide ribosomal RNA is filed under the name uncultured bacterium. RNAcentral describes it as "partial 16S ribosomal RNA". It matches the Rfam family "Bacterial small subunit ribosomal RNA", at positions 524 to 776 of the family's 1533-position model. The record is from RNAcentral.
UACGUAGGUCCCGAACGUUGCGCGAAUUUACUGGGCGUAAAGGGUCCGUAGGCGGUUUAGCAAGUGGUUGGUGAAAUUUCACGGCUCAACCGUGAAACUGCCUUCCAAACUGCUAAACUUGAGGCAGGGAGAGGUCGGCGGAAUUCCAGGUGUAGCGGUGAAAUGCGUAGAUAUCGGGAGGAACUCCAGUGGCGAAGGCGGCCGACUGGAACUGUCCUGACGCGGAGGGACGAAAGCUAGGGGAGCAAACCGG